GCUGGGCAUGGUGGUGCACAUCUGUAAUCCCAGCAGCUUGGGAGGCUGAGGCAGGAGGAUCACGAGUUCAAAGCCAGCCUCAGCAACUUUGUGAAGCUCUAAGCAACUCAGUGAGACUCUGUCUCUA
This 127-nucleotide small RNA is filed under the name Marmota monax (woodchuck). Lineage: Eukaryota; Metazoa; Chordata; Mammalia; Rodentia; Sciuridae. The record is from RNAcentral.